CCUACGGGUGGCAGCAGUGGGGGAUAUUGCACAAUGGGGGAAACCCUGAUGCAGCGACGCCGCGUGGGUGAAGAAGCGCCUCGGCGCGUAAAGCCCUGUCAGCAGGGAAGAAAAUGACGGUACCUGAAGAAGAAGCCGCGGCCAACUACGUGCCAGCAGCCGCGGUAAUACGUAGGGGGCAAGCGUUACCCGGAUUGACUGGGUGUAAAGGGGGCGCAGACGGCGAUGCAAGCCAGGAGUGAAAGCCCGGGGCCCAACCCCGGGACUGAUCUUGGAACUGCGUGGCUAGAGUGCAGGAGGGGCUGGCGGAAUUCCUGGUGUAGCGGUGAAAUGCGUAGAUAUCAGGAGGAACACCGGUGGCGAAGGCGGCCUGCUGGACUGCAACUGACGUUGAGGCCCGAAAGCGUGGGGAGCAAACAGGAUUAGAUACCCGGGUAGUC
RNAcentral lists this ribosomal RNA (440 nucleotides) under uncultured bacterium. Its description in RNAcentral is "partial 16S ribosomal RNA". It matches the Rfam family "Bacterial small subunit ribosomal RNA", at positions 338 to 795 of the family's 1533-position model. The record is from RNAcentral.